RNAcentral lists this ribosomal RNA (440 nucleotides) under uncultured bacterium. RNAcentral describes it as "partial 16S ribosomal RNA". It matches the Rfam family "Bacterial small subunit ribosomal RNA", at positions 338 to 795 of the family's 1533-position model. The record is from RNAcentral.
CCUACGGGAGGCAGCAGUUGGGAAUAUUGGACAAUGGGGGAAACCCUGAUCCAGCGACGCCGCGUGAGUGAAGAAGUAUUUCGGUACGUAAAGCUCUAUCAGCAGGAAAGAAAAUGACGGUACCUGACUAAGAAGCCCCGGCUAACUACGUGCCAGCAGCCGCGGUAAUACGUAGGGGGCAAGCGUUAUCCGGAUUUACUGGGUGUAAAGGGAGCGUAGGCGGCAGCGCAAGUCUGGAGUGAAAUGCCGGGGCGCAACCCCGGAACUGCGCUGGAAACUGUGAAGCUGGAGUGCAGGAGAGGUAAGCGGAAUUCCUGGUGUAGCGGUGAAAUGCGUAGAUAUCAGGAGGAACACCGGCGGCGAAGGCGGCUUACUGGACUGUAACUGACGUUGAGGCUCGAAGGCGUGGGGAGCAAACAGGAUUAGAUACCCUUGUAGUC